AUGGGCAGGGGCGUGCUGGAGGUGCAUCUCGUCGACGCCAAGGGCCUCUUCGGCAGCGAUUUCCUAGGGAAGAUCGACCCGUAUGUGGUGGUGCAGUACCGGAGCCAGGAGCGCAAGAGCAGCACCUCCAGAGAUGAGGGGAGGAACCCGAGCUGGAACGAGGUGUUCCGGUUCCAGAUCAACUCCUCCGCGGCCAACGGGCAGCACAAGCUCUUCCUCCGGAUCAUGGACCACGAUAACUUCUCCAGCGACGACUUCCUCGGCCAAGCAACGAUCAAUGUGACUGAUCUGAUCACCCUUGGCAUGGAGAGCGGCUCGUCGCAGCAAAACCCGGCCAAGUACAGCGUCGUCUCCGCCGACAACUCGUACCACGGCGAGAUCAGAGUGGGCAUCUCGUUCACGGCCACCAAGGUCGAAGAAGACGGCGCGCAGGUCGGAGGCUGGAUGCACAGCUCUCGCGAGUAG
This 465-nucleotide ribosomal RNA is filed under the name Triticum aestivum (bread wheat). RNAcentral describes it as "partial small subunit ribosomal RNA". Lineage: Eukaryota; Viridiplantae; Streptophyta; Magnoliopsida; Poales; Poaceae. The record is from RNAcentral.